Molecule: ribosomal RNA, 468 nt
Filed under: uncultured bacterium
Lineage: Bacteria
Description: partial 16S ribosomal RNA
Rfam family: Bacterial small subunit ribosomal RNA
Source: RNAcentral
GACGAACGCUGGCGGCGUGCUUAACACAUGCAAGUCGAACGGAAAGGCCCUGCUUUUGUGGGGUGCUCGAGUGGCGAACGGGUGAGUAACACGUGAGUAGCCUGCCCUUGACUUUGGGAUAACUUCAGGAAACUGGGGCUAAUACCGGAUAGGAGCUCCUGCUGCAUGGUGGGGGUUGGAAAGUUUCGGCGGUUGGGGAUGGACUCGCGGCUUAUCAGCUUGUUGGUGGGGUAGUGGCUUACCAAGGCUUUGAAGGGUAGCCGGCCUGAGAGGGUGACCGGCGACAUGGGGACUGAGAUACGGACCAGACGCCUACGGGAGGCAGCAGGGGGGAAUAUUGCACAAUGGGCGGAAGCCUGAUGCAGAAACGCCGCGUGCGGGAUGACGGCCUUCGGGUUGUAAACAGCUUUCGCCUGUGACGAAGCGUGAGUGACGGUAAUGGGUAAAGAAGCACCGGCUAACUACGUG